CACUGUUAGGACUCCUACAAGAACACAAACGACACAGUCAUAGCAUACAGGAAGAGGGUGUAGGUCAGGCACAUACAGGCUCGCCACCACAAGAACAUGGCCCACAGAAUCAACCGACUGAGGCAUUUUACCUAGCGGUUGGUGUGGAUGACUUGGGCAUUGUUGUUUGGUAAAUAUUGAAGACACAAAGAUGCAUGCUCUGUUCCCGGCCCCAUCCGUAACUCUGUGACCUGUGGGACAUCCCACCAUUUUCUGGGCAUAACCAUUGAACCGGAUGACUUUUGAGACCCUCUUUGGUUGUGACUUUUAUAUCUGGGUCUGUCUCUCAGGAGCUCUUUGAUCGUUGUGAGAAUAAGAGACGGACAUUAUUUAAACUAGCCAGUGAGACAGAAGACAAUGACAAUAGUUUGGGGGACAUCCUGCAGGCCAGUGACAACCUGUCCAGGGUCAUCAACUCUUACAAAACAAUUAUUGAAGGGCAGAUCAUCAAUGGUGAGGUGACCACCUCAACCGUGCCUGACUCUGAAGGUAAAUACUCUUGACUUCCAUGCUGGGGCCCUCCAGACCAGCCACACGCAUGUCCUGACCACUGAGCCACAAAUGGUAAUGCUCGAAUUCCUGCGUGGACACAAGCCAUUUCAGGUAGCACUUCCCAGAGCCAGGAGGUGUGCAUGGAGGCUUCUUGCCUUCUCA
Molecule: long non-coding RNA, 693 nt
Filed under: Rattus norvegicus (Norway rat)
Lineage: Eukaryota; Metazoa; Chordata; Mammalia; Rodentia; Muridae
Description: long non-coding RNA NONRATT005070
Source: RNAcentral